RNAcentral lists this ribosomal RNA (725 nucleotides) under uncultured bacterium. Its description in RNAcentral is "bacterial SSU rRNA". It matches the Rfam family "Bacterial small subunit ribosomal RNA", at positions 771 to 1501 of the family's 1533-position model. The record is from RNAcentral.
AACAGGAUUAGAUACCCUGGUAGUCCACGCCCUAAACGAUGUCUACUAGUUGUCGGGUCUUAAUUGACUUGGUAACGCAGCUAACGCGUGAAGUAGACCGCCUGGGGAGUACGGUCGCAAGAUUAAAACUCAAAGGAAUUGACGGGGACCCGCACAAGCGGUGGAUGAUGUGGAUUAAUUCGAUGCAACGCGAAAAACCUUACCUACCCUUGACAUGGCUGGAAUCCUUGAGAGAUCAGGGAGUGCUCGAAAGAGAACCAGUACACAGGUGCUGCAUGGCUGUCGACAGCUCGUGUCGUGAGAUGUUGGGUUAAGUCCCGCAACGAGCGCAACCCUUGUCAUUAGUUGCUACGAAAGGGCACUCUAAUGAGACUGCCAGUGACAAACCGGAGGAAGGUGGGGAUGACGUCAAGUCCUCAUGGCCCUUAUGGGUAGGGCUUCACACGUCAUACAAUGGUACAUACAGAGCGCCGCCAACCCGCGAGGGGGAGAUAAUCGCAGAAAGUGUAUCGUAGUCCGGAUUGUAGUCUGCAACUCGACUGCAUGAAGUUGGAAUCGCUAGUAAUCGCGGAUCAGCAUGUCGCGGUGAAUACGUUCCCGGGUCUUGUACACACCGCCCGUCACACCAUGGGAGCGGGUUUUACCAGAAGUAGGUAGCUUAACCGUAAGGAGGGCGCUUACCACGGUAGGAUUCGUGACUGGGGUGAAGUCGUAACAAGGUAACC